Molecule: ribosomal RNA, 620 nt
Filed under: uncultured Couchioplanes sp.
Lineage: Bacteria; Bacillati; Actinomycetota; Actinomycetes; Micromonosporales; Micromonosporaceae
Description: bacterial SSU rRNA
Rfam family: Bacterial small subunit ribosomal RNA
Source: RNAcentral
CAGCAGGGACGAAGCGUAAGUGACGGUACCUGCAGAAGAAGCGCCGGCCAACUACGUGCCAGCAGCCGCGGUAAGACGUAGGGCGCGAGCGUUGUCCGGAUUUAUUGGGCGUAAAGAGCUCGUAGGCGGCUUGUCGCGUCGACUGUGAAAACCCGCGGCUCAACUGCGGGCUUGCAGCCGAUACGGGCAGGCUAGAGUUCGGUAGGGGAGACUGGAAUUCCUGGUGUAGCGGUGAAAUGCGCAGAUAUCAGGAGGAACACCGGUGGCGAAGGCGGGUCUCUGGGCCGAUACUGACGCUGAGGAGCGAAAGCGUGGGGAGCGAACAGGAUUAGAUACCCUGGUAGUCCACGCUGUAAACGUUGGGCGCUAGGUGUGGGGGACCUCUCCGGUCCUCUGUGCCGCAGCUAACGCAUUAAGCGCCCCGCCUGGGGAGUACGGCCGCAAGGCUAAAACUCAAAGGAAUUGACGGGGGCCCGCACAAGCGGCGGAGCAUGCGGAUUAAUUCGAUGCAACGCGAAGAACCUUACCUGGGUUUGACAUCGCCGGAAAUCUCGCAGAGAUGCGGGGUCCUUCGGGGCCGGUGACAGGUGGUGCAUGGCUGUCGUCAGCUCGUGUCGUGA